CUCGGCAACGGAUAUCUCGGCUCUCGCAUCGAUGAAGAACGCAGCAAAAUGCGAUACUUGGUGUGAAUUGCAGAAUCCCGUGAACCAUCGAGUUUUUGAACGCAAGUUGCGCCCGAAGCCAUUAUGCUGAGGGCACGUCUGCCUGGGCGUCACGCAUAG
This 159-nucleotide ribosomal RNA is filed under the name Ligustrum sp. DH-2011. Its description in RNAcentral is "5.8S ribosomal RNA". It matches the Rfam family "5.8S ribosomal RNA". From Rfam's summary of the family: 5.8S ribosomal RNA (5.8S rRNA) is a component of the large subunit of the eukaryotic ribosome. The record is from RNAcentral. RNAcentral also lists the same sequence under 1 other name. Lineage: Eukaryota; Viridiplantae; Streptophyta; Magnoliopsida; Lamiales; Oleaceae.